Non-coding RNA from Schistosoma rodhaini, 45 nucleotides. The record is from Rfam. NCBI's taxonomy places the organism in Eukaryota, Metazoa, Platyhelminthes, Trematoda, Strigeidida, Schistosomatidae.
AUCCAGCUGAUGAGUCCUAAACAGGACGAAACGAGUUUCCUGGAU